CAGUAUUUGUACCUCACUUUGUCCAGUCCUUUUGCCAUUGCUCACUGUCUUAGUUAUCUUCUGGUUCCAUGUUCAUCAUCUCCUAUCUUCUCUCAGAAGAAAGAAAACACCACACAAUGCAACUGCCCAAUGUUUGCCAACCCCAGUGGAACAUGACAGAUUACAAAGGAAUUUCUUCCAGAGGAUAUCUUCAAAGGAUGUUCACAGAUGCGUUUUAAAAUAAAUUGGGAGAACAAAACACGACAUUGACAGCAGUAAGCACUUCCAUCUCUUGUCUUAGACUCUGUGAGAACCCACAGCCCUGUACACGAAGCAAGAGAUGUGCCCAGAAAUGUAUGCCAAGGAGCUGCCUAGGCAAUGAGAG
This is a long non-coding RNA of Oxyura jamaicensis (ruddy duck), 364 nucleotides long. RefSeq lists it as uncharacterized. The transcript is spliced from 3 exons. The record is from RefSeq and is a predicted model, not a curated record. NCBI's taxonomy places the organism in Eukaryota, Metazoa, Chordata, Aves, Anseriformes, Anatidae.